Molecule: ribosomal RNA, 477 nt
Filed under: Triticum aestivum (bread wheat)
Lineage: Eukaryota; Viridiplantae; Streptophyta; Magnoliopsida; Poales; Poaceae
Description: partial small subunit ribosomal RNA
Source: RNAcentral
AUGAAGGAUGCCGCAAUGAGCCACGCAACCCCAUCAGCAAGUGUUGAAGUGGAUGCUCCCGAGACGAACAUAGGCAAGGAAGAUUCCUCUUCCGACACUGACUCCAAGCGCGUGCGUGAUGGCACACCUGUGUCCACGACAGAAGCCGCUGAGGCGGCAGUUCAUAAGGAUAUGCCACCUACAGGUGAGAGUCCUGGCACAACAGCUCUAGCCCCUGCCGGUGCAGAUACUGCUAAGGUUACUGUGGCGCGUGUUGGUCUUCCACCCAGGCGUCGCAGCCCCCGUAAGCAACCAACAGUUGUACCCAAUGCACCGGCUGUAUCUAGGAGCAGGAGAGAUGAGUCUGGGUAUGUUCCUGCAUCUACACUGUUCCCGCCAACCGCCCAAAGCAAUGUGAUGGAGAACCCGCAAGACCGGAGCACAACUGAUGCAUCUGUCAAGGCUGGCACGAGUGACGCAGGUGAACGGCCGGAGUAG